UACGUAGGGCGCAAGCGUUGUCCGGAAUUAUUGGGCGUAAAGAGCUCGUAGGCGGCUUGUCGCGUCGAUUGUGAAAGCCCGGGGCUUAACUCCGGGUCUGCAGUCGAUACGGGCAGGCUAGAGUGUGGUAGGGGAGAUCGGAAUUCCUGGUGUAGCGGUGAAAUGCGCAGAUAUCAGGAGGAACACCGGUGGCGAAGGCGGAUCUCUGGGCCAUUACUGACGCUGAGGAGCGAAAGCGUGGGGAGCAAACAGG
This 253-nucleotide ribosomal RNA is filed under the name uncultured bacterium. RNAcentral's name for it is "partial 16S ribosomal RNA". It matches the Rfam family "Bacterial small subunit ribosomal RNA", at positions 524 to 776 of the family's 1533-position model. The record is from RNAcentral.